ACAGUUCGAAAGAGCAAUUCCUCCAGCUGUGGUAUGGAGAGAGGAAGUGUGGGGAGCCAAGGAUCUAAGCCCCUUUGAGUAUUCAGACACCGACCAACUAAAGCCAGAGAAUUGACAAUAUUGACCGUUGCUGGCCUUCAUGACUUUGACCUGAACUCUGUCCCCUUAAGAUGACUUUUGCCCCAAUUCCAUGCUGGAUUCCCCAUUGGGCAAGCUGAUUCAUGAACAGCACCUGGAACUGUGUCCAGUACAUAGUGGUGGGUUUUCUAUCGGUAUUUGUUGGCUGAACAAAUGAAUAGCAUGGAAUCGCCAGAAGGGGAUGGACCAGGGUACUUUGACACCUUGUCAGACUGUUUGCAUUUGGAAUACAAAACAGUCAGGUAUGUUUCCAAGGAAGAGGGUGGGGGACACAUCCACAGGCAUGGCUGGGUCCCCAGAUUGGAGCUGGAGCAGAGAAGGGGCCUGGAUGACAUGCCUGCGAGAGACCACCCGUCUCAGGGCCCCUGGAUGUGGUUCCUCAAGCAAAGAUUCCUUGGGCGUCAUGGACCAUCUGCCUCCUCCUAUGGAUGUCUUCAGCAUGAUCUCUCUCCCUCUCCCGCAGCAAGAGGGCUUGAUCAAGGUAUCUUUGAUUGAAUUAGUAGCUCCUGAAGCACAGUGUAAGAUAAAA
Molecule: long non-coding RNA, 667 nt
Organism: Panthera uncia (snow leopard)
Lineage: Eukaryota; Metazoa; Chordata; Mammalia; Carnivora; Felidae
Exons: 4
Source: RefSeq, a predicted model, not a curated record